ACGACGAGGUUGAUAGGUUCGAGGUGGAAGUGCGGCAACGUAUGCAGCUGACGAAUACUAAUCGGUCGAGGGCUUAACCAAU
RNAcentral lists this ribosomal RNA (82 nucleotides) under Paenibacillus oryzisoli. RNAcentral describes it as "Paenibacillus sp. 1ZS3-15 partial 23S ribosomal RNA". It matches the Rfam family "Bacterial large subunit ribosomal RNA", at positions 2844 to 2925 of the family's 2925-position model. The record is from RNAcentral. Lineage: Bacteria; Bacillati; Bacillota; Bacilli; Caryophanales; Paenibacillaceae.